CGUCUGCCAAAUGUCAUGAAUGUAAAUGCAUUACGGAAGUGCUUAUAAAAACAAAAAGCAAGCAUCUCCAUCUCAUAGUCAAGAGAAGUGAUGAAGUUACUCACUGCUGCUCCAGGACUUCAGCAGAGACUUAAUGCUGAUUUCAAAGAACCCUGAGUCCUGCUGGCUGGCCAUGUCGUGUUUGGCUGUCCCGUGAAGAGUGGGCAUUCUUUUGAUGCUCCGCUUUGUGUGUGUGUGUGUGUGUAUGUGUAUGUAUUUGCCCCCCUGCCUGCUGCAGCCAGGCCGUGAGCAGGCAGGUGGUGUACGCUGCUCUCUCUGCCUGAAAGUGAUGCGAUAAAGCAAUGCUGCUGCUGACCAGAAUACACACCGCUCCAGCUCUCCCCUUCCUCCUUUCCCUCCCUCUUUCUCUUUGUCUCUCUCUCUCUCGCAGAGGCAGGUUGGUUUUAAAUACUCUUGCUGGAUCAGACACUGCUUGGAGACCGGGAAUGCAGUGAGGAGAAAUCCUCUUAGCCAGAGUGGCUAAUUAUAACCUCUGUUCUCAUCUCAGAGAGGGACUCUUACUAUCAGAACUGUCUGGCCCAGGACAUGUAGCAUCCAGGCUGUUCAGGGCUAUCUCUGUUCAUCCAAACCCCAAAGGGAAAAGAACUAAUUAAUGGCGCUCAGAUUUUUAGCCCAAUCAGUGGGUUUUCUUGUUAAAAAAAAAAAAAAAAAAAAAAAAAAAGGCUGUCUUUUGUAACAGCAUCAUCAGAAAUGAUCACAACAUAAAGCAACUAAAGUGAUGACACACCACUAGAUAAAGCAGACUGACAAAUUAAAGGAAAAACUGAUGACUCUCUUAGGCUGUGGGGGGGCAUUUAUUUUUGUCAGCAUGAUUUGGCACGCCUUUGAGAGAAGAGUCAUUGCAAAUCAAUACAACGUUCUUCUGAUGACCUUUAUCCUAUGAUAAAACAUUUCUAUCCUGACGGCGGCGAUCUCUUCCAGGAUGACUCCGCCCCCAUACACAGGGCACGAGGGUUCACUAAAUGGUUUGUUGAGGAUGAAAAGAAUGCAAAUUAUAAGCUGUGGACUUCACAGUCACUUUAUCUCGACCCUACGUUAUACCUUUUGGAGAUUUUGGUGUGACAUGGCUGUCCCAAAACCUUACUAACACACUGUAUGUUGUAUUUUCCUUUAGUUUGUCACCAGUCUGUGUAAUACUGUAGGUCAUGUAUAUUCAUUUGACAUUUAUAUCCAAUGCAACUGGCUCUCUGCCAGUCCUGGGAUUUGAACUCACAACCUUCAGGGAUUUUGAACUCACUAACAUGUCACUAGUGCAGAACGGGAAAUGCAUAACAAUCAUACAUUCGUUCAUCUUCAGGAACCAUUUAAUACUGGUCAGGGAUGUAGAACCUGGAGCCCAUCCCUGUAAUACUAAGCACAAGCUGGGAAUACACCCUGGAUGUUACACCAAUCCACUGCAAGACACCAGGCACAUACACAAUCUCACACUCAUUCACAUCUAACGGAAGUGACCUUAUCGGUGUGUACCCCAGCUAACGGAAGUGACCUUAUCGGUGUGUACCCCAGCUAACAGGAGUGACCUUAUCGGUGUGUACCCCAGCUAAUAGAAGUGACCUUAUCAGCGUAGUGGUAAAUGUAACACUGAUGCUUUUAAUAUGACCUGUUGAUGCAUUUAGCGCAGUCAGCAAUCUGAACCUUCUCUGGUGCCUCAGUGAGAGAUCAGCUGUCUGUCUGUCCUCAA
Long non-coding RNA from Ictalurus furcatus (blue catfish), 1741 nucleotides. RefSeq lists it as uncharacterized. NCBI's taxonomy places the organism in Eukaryota, Metazoa, Chordata, Actinopteri, Siluriformes, Ictaluridae. The transcript is spliced from 3 exons. The record is from RefSeq and is a predicted model, not a curated record.